Molecule: long non-coding RNA, 684 nt
Filed under: Nicotiana benthamiana
Lineage: Eukaryota; Viridiplantae; Streptophyta; Magnoliopsida; Solanales; Solanaceae
Description: long non-coding RNA (NBEN_LNC041100)
Source: RNAcentral
UUAAACAAUCCUCUUCAUUUUCUCUCUUCCUCUAACUUCCUAUUUCUUCCUUAAUUACUCAAUUCCUCUUACUUUCUCAGGUUGCCUGGUACUGCAAAGUACUAGACUCAGAUUUAAGACCUUGGUCCUAUAGGGGUAGGCACAGUCCUUGACGAUAGUAUUCUGUAUUAGACGAUGAAAAGGUUUUUGUACUCAUACGUACGAUUCCUCACGUAUGCUUGUUCGAUUUUGAUCAAGGCAAGUAUACGCGAAUUUACUCAUGUAUAUCAACGUGGGCACACAAUAACCUAGCCGACCAGUGAUAUUUCUAACCAUCCAGGUUAAUAUGCGUGCAGUCAUAGUGAUAUUUAUGAUUGCAUGGUAAAAUGCGGACGUACUCUGUUAACAUUGUAGCUCGUCGGAUUGAAGAAAGAAAGGAAGAAGGAGAUGAACAGUGUAAAAGGAAAGAGAAGAGAGAAAAAAUCUGAAAUGUAUUGAAAUGAUUUUCUUCUCGUUCUGUCUCGAAGCUUCCGCUUCUCUAUAUACAAACCAAUUAAAAAAUGUAAUGUGUGUGUGUGAAAUUACAUGUGUGCCCCUCACUCCUAUACAAACCAAUACAACAAAUAAAUAUAGCAGCUACCCUUGGGCUGCUAUUGUCUUGGGCUGCUGCUAUUGUCGUGGGCUGACUGCUGAAGAGGCCCAACA